Molecule: ribosomal RNA, 364 nt
Filed under: uncultured Bacillota bacterium
Lineage: Bacteria; Bacillati; Bacillota
Description: bacterial SSU rRNA
Rfam family: Bacterial small subunit ribosomal RNA
Source: RNAcentral
CGGGGGACAAUGGAUACAGGUGGUGCAUGGUUGUCGUCAGCUCGUGCCGUGAGGUGUUGGGUUAAGUCCCGCAACGAGCGCAACCCCUAUUGAUAGUUGCUAAUAUUAAGUUAAGGACUCUAUUGAGACUGCCAGCGACAAGCUGGAGGAAGGUGGGGAUGACGUCAAAUCAUCAUGCCCUUUAUGACCUGGGCUACAAACGUACUACAAUGGCCAGAUACAAAGAGAUGCGAAGCCGCGAGGUGGAGCGAACCUCAGAAAAAUGGUCUCAGUUCGGAUUGGAGUCUGCAACUCGACUCCAUGAAGUUGGAAUCGCUAGUAAUCGCGAGUCAGCAGAUCGCCGGUGAAUACGUUACCGGUUUUA